Molecule: non-coding RNA, 888 nt
Organism: Peromyscus maniculatus bairdii (prairie deer mouse)
Lineage: Eukaryota; Metazoa; Chordata; Mammalia; Rodentia; Cricetidae
Source: RefSeq, a predicted model, not a curated record
CAAUCCACAGCCUACAAAUUGUACGUAGGUUCCGUGCUAGUCUUCCCAAAAGGCAAUGACUGAUUCAUCGAGGUGGUAGAGAGCUAUGUGAGACCCAGAUCACAGGGAGUCAGAACUUUUCAAGGCAUUGGGAGAAUGCACUUUCUUUAUGUCCAUGGGGCACACAUCAAGACAGAGCAAUGCAGGCCACAAAAUACUCAACUAAAGCUAAAUCAAUGCAGUCACAAAUCUACCUUCAAAACUAGAAAAGAACUCAAACUAGGAAACAGAAAAAUAUCAAAAAAAUUGGAAACAAAACCACACAAUUCUAAAUAACUCAUGGAUGGAUCAAAGAGUGUCUCAAGAAAAAAAAUUAAAAUACAUGUAGCUGAACAAAAAUGAAAGUAGAGCAUAUCCAAAUGUACGAGGCACAGCUAACCUCAUGCCAAAAGGAAAUGUGCAACGCUGAACGUGUGUUCAACAAAGGAAGAAAAGCUUCAAGUCAGUACAGCGAAGCCCAUUUGGAUCUGGAGAAGAAGAUGAAGCCCCAGCCAGAAGGAGAGAGGAGAUGAUGGAAAUAAGAGCAGAAAUCAAUGGCGUCGACAGGAAGAAAUGGUCAAGAACAUCAAUGGAGCCGAGGGUUGCUUCUUUGAGAAGGGACGUGAAAUUUCCCAGCCUUUUAUCAGGACUGACAAAAAGAGAUAUCAUAAAUACCAAUGUCAGCAACACAACUGCCUGUCCCUUUGUCAACUUCAAAAGUACAGUCAGAGGACAAAGCUACAGCUACAAGAGGACUUGACAACCUAGAGGACAAGAAUCACUUUAUUUCAAACUACCACAACUCAUCAGGAGACAGGCAAUUCCAAUAGUCUCUAAUUACUAUGAAAAUUAAAAUUGUCAUAAAAAUCA